GAUGAACGCUGGCGGCGUGCCUAACACAUGCAAGUCGAGCGGGAUUUUGCUGAAUGACGCUUCGGUUGAUUUCAGUGAAUGAGAGCGGCGGACGGGUGAGUAACGCGUAGGCAACCUGCCCCAUAGAGUGGGAUAACACAGUGAAAAUUGUGCUAAUACCGCAUAAAAUAGUAGAAUCGCAUGGUUUAACUAUCAAAGAUUUAUCGCUAUGGGAUGGACUCGCGUCUGAUUAGCUAGUUGGUGAGGUAACGGCUCACCAAGGCGACGAUCAGUAGCCGAACUGAGAGGUUGAUCGGCCACAUUGGGACUGAGACACGGCCCAGACUCCUACGGGAGGCAGCAGUGGGGAAUAUUGCGCAAUGGGGGCAACCCUGACGCAGCAACGCCGCGUGAAGGAAGAAGGUUUUCGGAUCGUAAACUUUUGUCUUAGGGGACGAUAGUGACGGUACCCUAGGAGGAAGCCACGGCUAACUACGUGCCAGCAGCCG
This 488-nucleotide ribosomal RNA is filed under the name uncultured bacterium. RNAcentral describes it as "bacterial SSU rRNA". It matches the Rfam family "Bacterial small subunit ribosomal RNA", at positions 28 to 517 of the family's 1533-position model. The record is from RNAcentral.